Parasteatoda tepidariorum (common house spider) is the source of this 4012-nucleotide non-coding RNA. NCBI's taxonomy places the organism in Eukaryota, Metazoa, Arthropoda, Arachnida, Araneae, Theridiidae. The record is from RefSeq and is a predicted model, not a curated record.
AGAUGCAUAGAUAUACAGUAAUAAGGAAAUCUAACGUUCGACUGAUGGACUGAUAAUAACAUAUUACAAAACAAUGGGUGAAACAGACUGAGGAGUUUUACAGCACGUGACAGCAGGUGAAGUCGGUCCCUUGUUUACGAAGGGCCAUCCAUCUCCCUGGCUGACUCCGCCCCGCACGACCUUGGAGCGCUACGACCUGUGACAGCGACCACCCCUCCUCUGCCAAUGGUAAUCUUCGACGUCACGGACAGGCGGAGCCACGGGCGCGCCGCUCGCCCUUCGAUCGUUGUUCGUUUUUCCCCGACCUCACAACACGCGGCAACGCUUGCCGAAUUGAGAUGUCCUUACUCCGAUGGCUAGCACGAGCCCUUACCUCUCGUCUGCCGGCCUGGUGAAUUCACUCGCCACCGGUCCUGAAAGCCCAGGAAUGCAAGUCGCCACAUCGCAAUCCGCCUACGCUAGAGAGCCUCCAGAAAUGAAGUACAUGCCGCCCCAACACCAGAGUCAUAAUGGACACCAUGCACUGGCGCCCCAGCAUCACUGGGUGAGCCUGCCGCCCCAUAACGAUGCUUGGUCAGCCGCCAUGCCACCACCUGGCCUGCACGCCGCUCAAGAUGUGAAACCCCCUGAUUUGCAUAGUGUCCAUCACCGUCCACCCCAGCACAUGGCCGCCUCUCAUCCAUGGCAUCAUUCUUCCCUUGCAUCAUCUCAUAUGUCCGGCAUGGGGGGUCCGGGAGGAAAUAGUGCAUCUCCGCAUCAUCAUCUCCAACAUUAUGGCAUGAAUGGUAUGCUUGGAGGACAUGGUUCUCAAUUACACCCUGCUAUGAGGGAAAUGCAACAUUCUGAGCAUCCCCACCACCAUCAUCAUCACCAUCAUCCCCACGAUGAUCUGUCUCAUCCGAUGGAUCAUGGACAUAGACACCCAGAUGACUGUGGUCCCCUGGGGCCCGGUGAAGAAGCCCCAAGUUCGGACGAUUUAGAACAAUUCGCGAAACAAUUUAAACAAAGACGUAUUAAACUUGGUUUUACCCAAGCGGACGUCGGGCUGGCCCUGGGAACUUUGUACGGUAAUGUUUUUAGCCAGACAACUAUAUGCAGGUUUGAAGCUCUUCAACUAAGUUUCAAGAACAUGUGUAAGUUGAAGCCCCUAUUAGCAAAGUGGCUUGAAGAAGCAGACAGUACUACCGGUUCACCGACAUCCAUAGACAAAAUAGCCGCGCAGGGGCGCAAAAGAAAAAAGCGAACGAGUAUCGAGGUUUCAGUAAAAGGAGCGCUUGAGAACCACUUCCACAAGCAGCCUAAGCCAGCGGCUCAAGAAAUAGCCAGCCUGGCGGACAGUCUUCAGCUUGAGAAAGAGGUUGUCAGGGUUUGGUUUUGCAAUCGUCGACAGAAAGAGAAGCGUAUGACACCCCCUGUUAAUAUGGGUACCGGUCAAAUGCAAGGUGACGGUGGACUAAUGAUGGGUGGAAGCCCUCUACACGCGCACAGCCCCAGCAAUCUCAUGCAGUCACCCCCUCCGCCCCCACAUUCGAUGGCUGCGGCUCACUGACCCGUGGCCGGGGCCGCGGACUCCGUCCAUCACUACGCCGGCCCUUUAGGGUCGACGGACGAAGACCUUUUGCCUGACCGCGAGCCCCUGCCACCGCCAACACAGUUCUUCUUCUCUUUGCUGAGAGGUGCCGCCCUGGAGCCGCCCUCCUACAAAUGUACAUGAAUUUUAUUUUCUCAUCCUAACGAAUGAUGGACACCUAAAUUGAAUCGUCAUCUUUGAAUGAGGAAGAAAGAAAAGAAAACUUCAUUGUUUUUUUGUGCCAAUCUGUGGUUCCCUCUUUAUUUUGAAAUAAAUAAAAAGUAAGGAGGGGGGACAAAUGACCCCUGUGCCCCUCUUUCUACAUUCAUGAUGUUGAUCUUGAUUCGCAGCUACAACAUCCACCUGCUAAGGUCAGAAAUAAAAGUUCCUCUUCUAACUGGCCGACAACACUGCCAGAGCGUCUCCAGUAAAAGUACACGACCCAUUGAAAUCAUCCUACCAUUCCAUUUUUGUAUUUUUUAAUCAUUUUAUAAGAAAAAAAAAUCAUCAUCUUAUUGGCAAUAGGAAAAUCAAAACAAAAACAAAAAAAUUCUGGUUUUGUUUUUAAUUUCCAACAAAGAAAACUUUUUUUUAUUCAAAAAGCAGCAAAUAUUCAAGAAGGUAGUGACAUCUAAAUGACAUUUCUACACCUGUGGUGUUUUGUUACACUUAAAAUUAAAAUUGUAGCUUCAUGAGCUCAAUACUAAAGUGCAAUCUAGAAACUAUUUGAAGCAUUUGUUUAUUACAUAGACACCAAUGUGGGAAGUUGAGCUUUACACCACAUGUUGUUUUUUACAUUAUUUGAUUACAGUUUGUUAUUUAUGAAAUUUUAAAAUCUUUCAUAGAAAUGUGUUAUUGAAUUUGUUCACAAAAUGUUGUUUUGUGUUAGCUUUUACAUUAAAAUUUGACUUACUUGUUUUUAAGUUACCAAAAUAAACUUAUUCUCUCAUUUUUGUUGAAAUUACCCGAGGAGAACUGAAAAAAAAAAAAACAUGAAAUUUCUAAACCCAUACUUACAAGAAGUUUUCAUUUAGAGAAAUGUUGUCUAUCUUGUAAUGCUUAUCAGAAAUUAUAAAGCUUACGUUUAUGGUUUUACGUAUACUUUUACGUUCAUAUUUAUUUAACCUUUCGUUAAUAUUUAUUUUUAAUUAAAGUUUAAAGUAAAACAUGAAAUUAGUUGUUUUAUUUUGCCUAAAACUUAUCAGGAAGCAGGGGUGCGUAACCUGUUGCAAUUUAAGCCUCCCCCCGUUUUACAGCCAAAAACUAAAAAAAGCAAACAAUUUAAGUAUCGUAAGAAAUAGCAUAACUGUUUUUCAAAUUAACUUCAAUUAACUUGUAAAAUGUUGGAAAUUAUACCAUUAUUAGAAUCUUACAAACUCUCGAGUUUUUUUUAAAUAAAAUUUUCUUGAACCAAAUUAAAUUUUUUUUUUAAAAAAAAAAAAGGUCUUCAAAAAUUUGUUAAAGUUACAAAUGUAAGGAAUUUAUGAACAGUAGAAAAAUAUAUAGAAUUUAUUUUUCCGCAGAAAAAUUAAAAAACCUUCUAAUACUUAUCAUUCUUUAAAGAAAACUAAAUGAGUUAAACGUCAAAUAUUUUCAAAUUCAAAAUAUUAUGUUUAUACAUGGCCAAUGUAAUGUAAUUUGCUGUACUUUGCCUUUUAAAUUUUUUUCUAAAAAAAUUGAUAUUGUUCUUGAAUUACUAAUGUUUAUCACUGUACACAAUUGUUUAUAUUAUCAUGUUACUGUCAGUCAAUAUAAAAUUUAAAUAAAUUACAUUUCCAGAAUGGCUGUAUUUAUGGCUGUCUUUCAAGAAAAGGCUUUGCAUCCCCAGUAAUUUAUACGCAAUAUGAAAAUAUGGAAAAUGAAAAUAUAGGCAUUUUAAUGCUAUAAAACAACGCAUUUGAACUAAGAAACUGCUUAAUAAAUAAUAAAAUAUGAAUAAAAUAAAUAUAAUGUAAGGAAAUAUAAAAUAUAUAAGAAACAUAAUAGAGAAGACCAUAUUGAAUUUAUAUAUUAAACGAUAAUUCAAAUUUAAAUGAUAGUGGCGAAAUAGCGAUUAUUAAUCUUUCCAGCUGAGAAUACUAUUAUUUGUAAAGUAAAAAGCUUAAAAUCAGAAAUACAUAUUUAUCUAAGAGAAAAAAAAAUGUGAUAAUGAAACUCAUCUUUAUUGACCUAAUGUACGUUCAAAUUUUAACUUAGUAAUUGUUUUGGCAUUUCUUCAAUUUUUUCUUAAGUAAAAUGUUACGAAAAUCUAUCUUUUUAACCUUGUAUUAUAUUUUAAAAUUAUUAUCAUUAUUUAAAAUUUAUAAUUUUUUCCCGGUGUGAUCCUGUAAAAUCCUGAAAUCAGGAUUUUAAAGACAUUAUUUAAUAAGAAAAAAUCCAGUGAUAAUAAUCUGUAGAUUUGGAUGAUUUUUUUUUUUUUUUUUUUUUUAAAUUUUUUUNUUU